Molecule: ribosomal RNA, 253 nt
Filed under: uncultured bacterium
Lineage: Bacteria
Description: partial 16S ribosomal RNA
Rfam family: Bacterial small subunit ribosomal RNA
Source: RNAcentral
UACGGGGGGGGCUAGCGUUGUUCAGAAUUACUGGGCGUAAAGGGCGCGUAGGCGGUCUGCUAAGUUGGAUGUGAAAACUCUGGGCUUAACCCAGAGCCUGCAUUCAAUACUGACAGGCUAGAGUUCUGGAGGGGAUAGCGGAAUUCCUGGUGUAGCGGUGAAAUGCGUAGAUAUCAGGAGGAACACCGGUGGCGAAGGCGGCUAUCUGGACAGAGUCUGACGCUGAGGCGCGAAAGCUAGGGGAGCAAACAGG